This 45-nucleotide non-coding RNA is filed under the name Schistosoma mansoni. The record is from RNAcentral. Lineage: Eukaryota; Metazoa; Platyhelminthes; Trematoda; Strigeidida; Schistosomatidae.
AUCCAGCUGACGAGUCCCAAGUAGGACGUCAAGUGCGUCCUGGAU